RNAcentral lists this ribosomal RNA (429 nucleotides) under Chloroflexota bacterium. RNAcentral's name for it is "Chloroflexi bacterium partial 16S ribosomal RNA". It matches the Rfam family "Bacterial small subunit ribosomal RNA", at positions 355 to 776 of the family's 1533-position model. The record is from RNAcentral. Lineage: Bacteria; Bacillati; Chloroflexota.
UGGGGAAUAUUGCACAAUGGGCGCAAGCCUGAUGCAGCCAUGCCGCGUGUAUGAAGAAGGCCUUCGGGUUGUAAAGUACUUUCAGUCGGGAGGAAGGUGGUAAGGUUAAUAACCUUGGCAAUUGACGUUACCGACAGAAGAAGCACCGGCUAACUCCGUGCCAGCAGCCGCGGUAAUACGGAGGGUGCAAGCGUUAAUCGGAAUUACUGGGCGUAAAGCGCACGCAGGCGGUUGAUUGAGUCAGAUGUGAAAUCCCCGGGCUUAACCCGGGAAUUGCAUCUGAUACUGGCAAGCUUGAGUCUCGUAGAGGGGGGUAGAAUUCCAGGUGUAGCGGUGAAAUGCGUAGAGAUCUGGAGGAAUACCGGUGGCGAAGGCGGCCCCCUGGACAAAGACUGACGCUCAGGUGCGAAAGCGUGGGGAGCAAACAGG